UCAUUAUUCUGUCCACAACUUUCACUCCACUAAACAAAUAAAUACACAUUAUACAUACAUAUAGAGAGAGAAGAGUUCUAAAUUUCUUGUGUUAGCAAAUCUUGUUAAGAGAUGAGUGAACCACCAAAAUAUGCUUACCCCUAUCCUGCCCAAGGAUACUACCAGGGGCCGCCGGUGGUGGCGCCGCCACAGUAUGCGUCACCGCCACCGAAGAGGGGGCCCGGAUUCUUGGAAGGGUGCUAAAAUCACGAACGGUGGCGUAAUUUUGCUGCUGCUUAAUGGGUGAAUGCUGCGACUUGCUAUGGCUCUUCUAAGGACUUCACUCAUUUUGUUUAAAUCUGCCUUUAAAAAAUUAUGUACAAUAUUUUCGUCAUAAUUAGAAGAAGAAAAAAAAGGAAGUUAUGUACUGAUAUUAAUAUAAUUAAAUAAUGCUACAUUUAUGGAUAUUUUUUA
Molecule: long non-coding RNA, 453 nt
Organism: Salvia splendens (bonfire salvia)
Lineage: Eukaryota; Viridiplantae; Streptophyta; Magnoliopsida; Lamiales; Lamiaceae
Exons: 3
Source: RefSeq, a predicted model, not a curated record